RNAcentral lists this ribosomal RNA (492 nucleotides) under uncultured bacterium. Its description in RNAcentral is "partial 16S ribosomal RNA". It matches the Rfam family "Bacterial small subunit ribosomal RNA", at positions 28 to 507 of the family's 1533-position model. The record is from RNAcentral.
GAUGAACGCUAGCUACAGGCUUAACACAUGCAAGUCGAGGGGAAACGACAUCGAAAGCUUGCUUUUGAUGGGCGUCGACCGGCGCACGGGUGAGUAACGCGUAUCCAACCUGCCCAUCACUUGGGGAUAACCUUGCGAAAGUAAGACUAAUACCCAAUGAUAUCUCUAGAAGACAUCUGAAAGAGAUUAAAGAUUUAUCGGUGAUGGAUGGGGAUGCGUCUGAUUAGCUUGUUGGCGGGGUAACGGCCCACCAAGGCAACGAUCAGUAGGGGUUCUGAGAGGAAGGUCCCCCACAUUGGAACUGAGACACGGUCCAAACUCCUACGGGAGGCAGCAGUGCGGAAUAUUGGUCAAUGGGCGAGAGCCUGAACCAGCCAAGUAGCGUGCAGGAAGACGGCCCUAUGGGUUGUAAACUGCUUUUAUAAGGGAAUAAAGUGAGAGUCGUGACUCUUUUUGUAUGUACCUUAUGAAUAAGGACCGGCUAAUUCCGUG